RNAcentral lists this ribosomal RNA (254 nucleotides) under uncultured bacterium. Its description in RNAcentral is "partial 16S ribosomal RNA". It matches the Rfam family "Bacterial small subunit ribosomal RNA", at positions 524 to 776 of the family's 1533-position model. The record is from RNAcentral.
UACGUAGGGUGCGAGCGUUGUCCGGAAUUAUUGGGCGUAAAGAGCUCGUAGGCGGUGUGUCACGUCGGCCGUGAAAACCUGCAGCUUAACUGUGGGCGUGCGGUCGAUACGGGCAUCACUGGAGUUCGGCAGGGGAGACUGGAAUUCCUGGUGUAGCGGUGAAAUGUGCAGAUAUCAGGAGGAACACCGGUGGCGAAGGCGGGACUCUGGGCCGAUACUGACGCUGAGGAGCGAAAGCGUGGGGAGCAAACAGG